RNAcentral lists this ribosomal RNA (524 nucleotides) under uncultured bacterium. RNAcentral describes it as "partial 16S ribosomal RNA". It matches the Rfam family "Bacterial small subunit ribosomal RNA", at positions 28 to 523 of the family's 1533-position model. The record is from RNAcentral.
GACGAACGCUGGCGGCGUGCCUAAUACAUGCAAGUCGAGCGCAGGAAACUGACGGAACUCUUCGGAGGGAAGGCAGCGGAAUGAGCGGCGGACGGGUGAGUAACACGUAAGGAACCUGCCUCAAGGAUUGGGAUAACUCCGAGAAAUCGGAGCUAAUACCGGAUAGUUCAUCGGACCGCAUGGUCCGCUGAUGAAAGGCGCUCCGGCGUCACCUUGAGAUGGCCUUGCGGUGCAUUAGCUAGUUGGUGGGGUAACGGCCCACCAAGGCGACGAUGCAGAGCCGACCUGAGAGGGUGAUCGGCCACGCUGGGACUGAGACACGGCCCAGACUCCUACGGGAGGCAGCAGUAGGGAAUCUUCCACAAUGGACGAAAGUCUGAUGGAGCAACGCCGCGUGAGUGAUGAAGGUUUACGGAUCGUAAAACUCUGUUGUAAGGGAAGAACACGUACGAGAGGGAAUGCUCGUACCUUGACGGUACCUUACGAGAAAGCCACGGCUAACUACGUGCCAGCCGCCGCCGUAA